UCGCCAGAAUAAUGUGAAACUGCUACGUUUUGGUUGCUAUGAACAAUAUUUUGAGUUAGUUUCUGCAUAAAAAUAAGGUUUGAUUACAUUUUUAGCGAGAAAUAUAUAUUCUAUUUUCAUAAUAUUCACUCAGUGAAUGUCAACCCGUUCUCACUCCUGACCGUUCUCACGCUGAAGAAGUCUCCUUCAGAACACAUCGCGAUAUUUGGCAUCAGUUCGCGUGUGCUGGAUGUUGGUAAGUAGUCGUAAAUACGCUGUUCUAAUGUUUGAUAUAAUGUCUUUUCUGUUUGCAGAUAUUAAUCAGAUUAACGUUAGCUCCCUCAUGUUCAGUCACUGCAUUAUAUCUGUCACCUCCGCUAAGGUUUUGCUUUUCAUUGUUUUCUAUAUUAAAUACUAAACUAGGGUGAUUAAACACUGUCACGUGACGUGCAAUAUAUUGCACAAUAUAUAUAACAUAUUCAUAUCAGGUUCAAAGUAGUACAAGUGUAGUUUCAAAAUGGUAUUUGUUGUAGAAGCACGGUAAAAAACAACACUUACCAUGGUUUUUACCACAGUAUUGGUAGUUUUAAUGUGAUUUUUGUUGUAAAUACAGAGUAACCACAACACUUAUCAUGCUUUUAAUGCCUAAUAAUGUUAAAUCCAAAAACUGUAAGGUCAAUAAGAACUUCUUUCCUAUAUAUAUUUAUAUAUAAACCUAUAUAUUAUAAAUAAUGAUAUUUUCUUUUCUCUUGUUUUAGCUGAAAAGACAAAAAGGGCCUUUCGGAAAUGGAUGAAGGAGACAGAAAGCUGCAAAGGCAAAUAAUUGCAAUGAAGGAAAUCCUACGGUUAUGUAUGAACUCACAACAUCAUCAAGUGCUGUGCUGGGCACAUUGGGUAACAAGUGUCCUCCAACGUAUCCAAUCUGUGACCACAUUCUCCACAUCUUCCCAUGGGACACCGACAUUCUUCAGGCCUUCGUUUCCAUGUCUUCCCCUGCAUUCUCCUGGUGGUGUCCACUUCAUAUCUGUCUUUGGGUGUUGUUGUUUGGUCAUGCUUAGGGUGUGUCCGGGGAGGUGCACCCUUCACUCUGUCACAGUUUUUAAAAGUCUUCACGUGGACUCCUCCUUAUGAUCUCCUUGAAACGUGCAGAACCAAUAUUGAAAAUAGUAAUUUAUCUUUUUCCAUAUUCUUGCCUUUAUCAAAGAAGCACCAGUGCUCAUCCGGAGUUUUGGUAAAAGUUCUAGUAAUGCUGCGACUAUAGUCAAAUAUGUAUUUCUGCAUGUGUGUAUAGCAGGUGUUUGUCCGAACAAUUGAAGUUAGUGAGAGUUUUCAGGAAAACCCUCUGAGAACAAUCAAUAUUUAUUUAAUUCUGUUUGGUGCUGAUAUAGAGUAUUACAGAAAUGACACAUUGACAUUCUGGACAUUAUUCUGUGAGUUUGUUACCUCUUCAUUUAGAUGGACUUGAAAAUGUCUUGCAUUUUGUUUCAUUAAACCUUUUAUUACAGUGUCACUAUAGUAAAUGUCCACCUUAACUACAUCUAUGGUAUCAUUAUAUCAGUACCUGGAUAAUGUAAAUGUAACAUACCCAUGAAUGUAUUUUAUAGAAGCAUUUUAUUGCUGAAAAUAUUUAACAUUUAUAAAAUGCAUUAACUAUU
Long non-coding RNA from Megalobrama amblycephala (Wuchang bream), 1634 nucleotides. RefSeq lists it as uncharacterized. The record is from RefSeq and is a predicted model, not a curated record. The transcript has 2 exons. Lineage: Eukaryota; Metazoa; Chordata; Actinopteri; Cypriniformes; Xenocyprididae.